CAGUAGUAGAUCAUUUGGUGAU
RNAcentral lists this non-coding RNA (22 nucleotides) under Arabidopsis thaliana (thale cress). The record is from RNAcentral. Lineage: Eukaryota; Viridiplantae; Streptophyta; Magnoliopsida; Brassicales; Brassicaceae.